Molecule: ribosomal RNA, 490 nt
Filed under: uncultured bacterium
Lineage: Bacteria
Description: partial 16S ribosomal RNA
Rfam family: Bacterial small subunit ribosomal RNA
Source: RNAcentral
GAUGAACGCUAGCUACAGGCUUAACACAUGCAAGUCGCGGGGCAGCAUGGGGGUUGCUUGCAAUCCCCGAUGGCGACCGGCGCACGGGUGAGUAACGCGUAUCCAACCUGCCCUUCACCACGGGAUAACCCGGCGAAAGUCGGACGAAUACCGUAUGUUGUCCAUUGACGGCAUCCGAUUUGGACGAAAGGCUUGGCGGUGAGGGAUGGGGAUGCGUCCGAUUAGCCAGACGGCGGGGUAACGGCCCACCGUGGCUACGAUCGGUAGGGGUUCUGAGAGGAAGGUCCCCCACACUGGAACUGAGACACGGUCCAGACUCCUACGGGAGGCAGCAGCGAGGAAUAUUGGUCAAUGGGCGUAAGCCUGAACCAGCCAAGUAGCGUGCAGGAUGACGGCCCUAUGGGUUGUAAACUGCUUUUAUGCGGGGAUAAAGUGGCCCACGUGUGGGCUUUUGCAGGUACCGCAUGAAUAAGGACCGGCUAAUUCCGUG